GGUUAAGCGACUAAGCGUACACGGUGGAUGCCCUGGCAGUCAGAGGCGAUGAAGGACGUGCUAAUCUGCGAUAAGCGUCGGUAAGGUGAUAUGAACCGUUAUAACCGGCGAUUUCCGAAUGGGGAAACCCAGUGUGUUUCGACACACUAUCAUUAACUGAAUCCAUAGGUUAAUGAGGCGAACCGGGGGAACUGAAACAUCUAAGUACCCCGAGGAAAAGAAAUCAACCGAGAUUCCCCCAGUAGCGGCGAGCGAACGGGGAGCAGCCCAGAGCCUGAAUCAGUGUGUGUGUUAGUGGAAGCGUCUGGAAAGGCGCGCGAUACAGGGUGACAGCCCCGUACACAAAAAUGCACAUGCUGUGAGCUCGAUGAGUAGGGCGGGACACGUGGUAUCCUGUCUGAAUAUGGGGGGACCAUCCUCCAAGGCUAAAUACUCCUGACUGACCGAUAGUGAACCAGUACCGUGAGGGAAAGGCGAAAAGAACCCCGGCGAGGGGAGUGAAAAAGAACCUGAAACCGUGUACGUACAAGCAGUGGGAGCCUCUUUUAUGGGGUGACUGCGUACCUUUUGUAUAAUGGGUCAGCGACUUAUAUUCUGUAGCAAGGUUAACCGAAUAGGGGAGCCGAAGGGAAACCGAGUCUUAACUGGGCGUUAAGUUGCAGGGUAUAGACCCGAAACCCGGUGAUCUAGCCAUGGGCAGGUUGAAGGUUGGGUAACACUAACUGGAGGACCGAACCGACUAAUGUUGAAAAAUUAGCGGAUGACUUGUGGCUGGGGGUGAAAGGCCAAUCAAACCGGGAGAUAGCUGGUUCUCCCCGAAAGCUAUUUAGGUAGCGCCUCGUGAAUUCAUCUCCGGGGGUAGAGCACUGUUUCGGCAAGGGGGUCAUCCCGACUUACCAACCCGAUGCAAACUGCGAAUACCGGAGAAUGUUAUCACGGGAGACACACGGCGGGUGCUAACGUCCGUCGUGAAGAGGGAAACAACCCAGACCGCCAGCUAAGGUCCCAAAGUCAUGGUUAAGUGGGAAACGAUGUGGGAAGGCCCAGACAGCCAGGAUGUUGGCUUAGAAGCAGCCAUCAUUUAAAGAAAGCGUAAUAGCUCACUGGUCGAGUCGGCCUGCGCGGAAGAUGUAACGGGGCUAAACCAUGCACCGAAGCUGCGGCAGCGACGCUGAUGCGUUGUUGGGUAGGGGAGCGUUCUGUAAGCCUGUGAAGGUGUGCUGUGAGGCAUGCUGGAGGUAUCAGAAGUGCGAAUGCUGACAUAAGUAACGAUAAAGCGGGUGAAAAGCCCGCUCGCCGGAAGACCAAGGGUUCCUGUCCAACGUUAAUCGGGGCAGGGUGAGUCGACCCCUAAGGCGAGGCCGAAAGGCGUAGUCGAUGGGAAACAGGUUAAUAUUCCUGUACUUGGUGUUACUGCGAAGGGGGGACGGAGAAGGCUAUGUUGGCCGGGCGACGGUUGUCCCGGUUUAAGCGUGUAGGCUGGUUUUCCAGGCAAAUCCGGAAAAUCAAGGCUGAGGCGUGAUGACGAGGCACUACGGUGCUGAAGCAACAAAUGCCCUGCUUCCAGGAAAAGCCUCUAAGCAUCAGGUAACAUCAAAUCGUACCCCAAACCGACACAGGUGGUCAGGUAGAGAAUACCAAGGCGCUUGAGAGAACUCGGGUGAAGGAACUAGGCAAAAUGGUGCCGUAACUUCGGGAGAA
RNAcentral lists this ribosomal RNA (1701 nucleotides) under Escherichia coli. RNAcentral's name for it is "partial 23S ribosomal RNA". It matches the Rfam family "Bacterial large subunit ribosomal RNA", at positions 1 to 1744 of the family's 2925-position model. Lineage: Bacteria; Pseudomonadati; Pseudomonadota; Gammaproteobacteria; Enterobacterales; Enterobacteriaceae. The record is from RNAcentral.